CACGUAGGGGGCGAGCGUUGUCCGGAUUUAUUGGGCGUAAAGAGCUCGUAGGCGGUUGGGUAAGUCGGGUGUGAAAACUCCAGGCUCAACUUGGAGACGCCACCCGAUACUGCUCUGACUUGAGUUCGGUAGGGGAGUGGGGAAUUCCUGGUGUAGCGGUGAAAUGCGCAGAUAUCAGGAGGAACACCGGUGGCGAAGGCGCCACUCUGGGCCGAAACUGACGCUGAGGAGCGAAAGCGUGGGGAGCGAACAGG
Molecule: ribosomal RNA, 254 nt
Filed under: uncultured bacterium
Lineage: Bacteria
Description: partial 16S ribosomal RNA
Rfam family: Bacterial small subunit ribosomal RNA
Source: RNAcentral